CACGUAGUUAGCCGGGGCUUCUUAGUCAGGUACCGUCAUUUUCUUCCCUGCUGAUAGAGCUUUACAUACCGAAAUACUUCUUCACUCACGCGGCGUCGCUGGAUCAGGGUUUCCCCCAUUGUCCAAUAUUCCCCACUGCUGCCUCCCGUAGGAGUUUGGGCCGUGUCUCAGUCCCAAUGUGGCCGUUCACCCUCCCAGGCCGGCUACUGAUCGUCGCCUUGGUAGGCCGUUACCCUACCAACAAGCUAAUCAGACGCGGGUCCAUCCUGCACCACCUUAGUUUUUCACACCUGGCCAUGCGGCCUCGUGCGCUUAUGCGGUAUUAGCACCUGUUUCCAGGUGUUAUCCCCCGGUGCAGGGCAGGUUCCCCACGCGUUACUCACCCGCCCGCCACUAAGUUAUCCUCUCUUCCACUCUUAGCAAGCUAAUUGCUUCUGAAAUGAUAACUCCGUUCGACUUGCAUGUGUUAAGCACGCCGCCAGCGUUCAUCCUGAGCCAGGAUCAAACUCU
RNAcentral lists this ribosomal RNA (510 nucleotides) under uncultured Lachnospiraceae bacterium. RNAcentral describes it as "partial 16S ribosomal RNA". Lineage: Bacteria; Bacillati; Bacillota; Clostridia; Lachnospirales; Lachnospiraceae. The record is from RNAcentral.